Molecule: ribosomal RNA, 547 nt
Filed under: uncultured bacterium
Lineage: Bacteria
Description: bacterial SSU rRNA
Rfam family: Bacterial small subunit ribosomal RNA
Source: RNAcentral
CCUGAUCCAGCCAUUCCGCGUGAGUGAAGAAGGCCUUCGGGUUGUAAAGCUCUUUCGGCAGGACGAAACGGCCGUUUCUAAUAAAGACGGCUAAUGACGGUACCUGAAGAAGAAGCACCGGCUAACUACGUGCCAGCAGCCGCGGUAAUACGUAGGGUGCGAGCGUUAAUCGGAAUUACUGGGCGUAAAGCGUGCGCAGGUGGUUGUUUAAGACAGAUGUGAAAUCCCCGGGCUUAACCUGGGAACUGCGUUUGUGACUGGACAGCUAGAGUGCGGCAGAGGGGGGUGGAAUUCCACGUGUAGCAGUGAAAUGCGUAGAGAUGUGGAGGAACACCGAUGGCGAAGGCAGCCCCCUGGGCCAGCACUGACGCUCAUGCACGAAAGCGUGGGGAGCAAACAGGAUUAGAUACCCUGGUAGUCCACGCCCUAAACGAUGUCAACUAGGUGUUGGGGAAGGAGACUUUCUUUAGUACCGCAGCUAACGCGUGAAGUUGACCGCCUGGGGAGUACGGUCGCAAGAUUAAAACUCAAAGGAAUUGACGGGGAC